CAAUAGCGUAUAUUAAAGUUGUUGCAGUUAAAAAGCUCGUAGUUGGAUUUGUGGCGUACGGUGUGUUCCGGGCACUUGUUGUCUGAGUAACCUGCUGUUGCCAUCCUUGGGUGGAACCUGUGUGGCAUUAGGUUGUCGUGCAGGGGAUGCCCAUCAUUUACUGUGAAAAAAUUAGAGUGUUCAAAGCAGGCUUAUGCCGUUGAAUAUAUUAGCAUGGAAUAAUGAGAUAGGACUUUUUUGCUAUUUUGUUGGUUUGCGCAAAGAGGUAAUGAUUAAUAGGGACAGUUGGGGGUAUUCGUAUUCCAUUGUCAGAGGUGAAAUUCUUGGAUUUUUGGAAGACGAACUACUGCGAAAGCAUUUGCCAAGAAUGUUUUCAUUAA
Molecule: ribosomal RNA, 380 nt
Filed under: uncultured eukaryote
Lineage: Eukaryota
Description: partial 18S ribosomal RNA
Rfam family: Eukaryotic small subunit ribosomal RNA
Source: RNAcentral